UGGUAUAGAACUCAGAAAAGGCUUACAGUA
This 30-nucleotide non-coding RNA is filed under the name Rattus norvegicus (Norway rat). Lineage: Eukaryota; Metazoa; Chordata; Mammalia; Rodentia; Muridae. The record is from RNAcentral.